This 606-nucleotide ribosomal RNA is filed under the name Aureobasidium sp. LAP7. Its description in RNAcentral is "eukaryotic LSU rRNA". It matches the Rfam family "Eukaryotic large subunit ribosomal RNA", at positions 37 to 658 of the family's 3401-position model. The record is from RNAcentral. Lineage: Eukaryota; Fungi; Ascomycota; Dothideomycetes; Dothideales; Saccotheciaceae.
UGCAUAUCANAAAGCGGAGGAAAAGAAACCAACAGGGAUUGCCCUAGUAACGGCGAGUGAAGCGGCAACAGCUCAAAUUUGAAAGCUGGCCUUCGGGUCCGCAUUGUAAUUUGUAGAGGAUGCUUUGGGGCAGCCGCCUGUCUAAGUUCCUUGGAACAGGACGUCAUAGAGGGUGAGAAUCCCGUAUGUGACAGGACAUGGCACCCUAUGUAAAGCUCCUUCGACGAGUCGAGUUGUUUGGGAAUGCAGCUCUAAAUGGGAGGUAAAUUUCUUCUAAAGCUAAAUACCGGCGAGAGACCGAUAGCGCACAAGUAGAGUGAUCGAAAGAUGAAAAGCACUUUGGAAAGAGAGUUAAAAAGCACGUGAAAUUGUUGAAAGGGAAGCGCUUGCAAUCAGACUUGUUUUGACUGUUCGGCCGGUCUUCUGACCGGUUUACUCAGUCUGGACAGGCCAGCAUCAGUUUUGGCGGCCGGAUAAAGGCUCAGGGAAUGUGGCUCUCACUUCGGUGGGAGUGUUAUAGCCCUGGGUGUAAUACGGCCAGCCGGGACUGAGGUCCGCGCUUCGGCUAGGAUGCUGGCGUAAUGGUUGUAAGCGACCCGUCUUGAA